AGGAUGAACGCUAGCUACAGGCUUAACACAUGCAAGUCGAGGGGCAGCACAGUGUAGCAAUACAUGGGUGGCGACCGGCGCACGGGUGCGUAACGCGUAUCCAACCUUCCCGUUACUCAGGGAUAGCCUUCCGAAAGGGAGAUUAAUACCUGAUGGUGUUCAAAUUCCGCAUGUUAUUUGAACUAAAGAUUUAUCGGUAACGGAUGGGGGAUGCGUGACAUUAGGUAGAUGGCGGGGUAACGGCCCACCAUGCCUACGAUGUCUAGGGGUUCUGAGAGGAAGGUCCCCCACACUGGAACUGAGACACGGUCCAGACUCCUACGGGAGGCAGCAGUGAGGAAUAUUGGUCAAUGGUCUGACGACUGAACCAGCCAUGCCGCGUGAAGGUCACGGCCCUAUGGGUCUUAAACUUCUUUUGUAAGGGAGCAAUAAGUCUCACGUGUGGGAUGAUGAGAGUACCUUACGAAUAAGCAUCGGCUAACUCCGUG
This 488-nucleotide ribosomal RNA is filed under the name uncultured bacterium. RNAcentral's name for it is "bacterial SSU rRNA". It matches the Rfam family "Bacterial small subunit ribosomal RNA", at positions 26 to 507 of the family's 1533-position model. The record is from RNAcentral.